This 465-nucleotide RNase P RNA is filed under the name Spirochaeta sp. RNAcentral's name for it is "RNase P RNA component class A". It matches the Rfam family "Bacterial RNase P class A". Rfam says of the family: Ribonuclease P (RNase P) is a ubiquitous endoribonuclease, found in archaea, bacteria and eukarya as well as chloroplasts and mitochondria. Its best characterised activity is the generation of mature 5'-ends of tRNAs by cleaving the 5'-leader elements of precursor-tRNAs. The record is from RNAcentral. Lineage: Bacteria; Pseudomonadati; Spirochaetota; Spirochaetia; Spirochaetales; Spirochaetaceae.
AAGACGGAUCGGAUGGCCGCCGGAAGAAAACCUUUGGUUUUCUUGAGGAGGAAAGUCCGGGCUUCGAAGAACAUGGUGCCGGCUAAUAUCCGGGGGAAGGUUGAAGACAACCUUUUACAGACAGUGCCGCAGAAAAUAUACCGCGCGCUUCAUUCUGCAAGGAAUUGAGGUGUGAAGUUUCGUAAGAAACUUCAAAAAACCGGCUUGCCGGUUUUCGUAAGGGUGAAAUGGCGGGGUAAGAGCCCACCGCUUCAUUGGUAACAAUGAAGGCAAGGUAAACCUCACCAGGAGCAAAGUUAAGCAGCAGAGGGUGUUCACCUGAAAGUCCACGAGCGUAGCGAGAGGUCUUUAGUCUGCGGGUAAACUGCUUGAAUCAGUGAGUAAUUGCUGAUGGAGAUAGAUGGUUAUCGAUGGUUUUUCUAUGAAAAACUAUUACAGAACCCGGCUUAUAGAUCCGUCUUUUUU